GUGCUUCGGCAGCACAUAUACUAAAAUUGGAACGAUACAGAGAAGAUUAGCAUGGCCCCUGGGCAAGGGCAAACAUUUAUUACUUGACUACAUUCAAAACCUGU
Small nuclear RNA from Perognathus longimembris pacificus (Pacific pocket mouse), 104 nucleotides. Lineage: Eukaryota; Metazoa; Chordata; Mammalia; Rodentia; Heteromyidae. The record is from RefSeq and is a predicted model, not a curated record.